Molecule: ribosomal RNA, 1600 nt
Filed under: Cronobacter sakazakii
Lineage: Bacteria; Pseudomonadati; Pseudomonadota; Gammaproteobacteria; Enterobacterales; Enterobacteriaceae
Description: partial 23S ribosomal RNA
Rfam family: Bacterial large subunit ribosomal RNA
Source: RNAcentral
AUGUGUUGUUGGGUAGGGGAGCGUUCUGUAAGCCUGUGAAGGUGUGCUGUGAGGCAUGCUGGAGGUAUCAGAAGUGCGAAUGCUGACAUAAGUAACGAUAAAGCGGGUGAAAAGCCCGCUCGCCGGAAGACCAAGGGUUCCUGUCCAACGUUAAUCGGGGCAGGGUGAGUCGACCCCUAAGGCGAGGCCGAAAGGCGUAGUCGAUGGGAAACAGGUUAAUAUUCCUGUACUUGGUGUUACUGCGAAGGGGGGACGGAGAAGGCUAUGUCGGCCGGGCGACGGUUGUCCCGGUUUAAGCGUGUAGGCUGACUUUCCAGGCAAAUCCGGAAAGUUAAGGCUGAGGCGUGAUGACGAGGCACCACGGUGCUGAAGUGACAAAUGCCCUGCUUCCAGGAAAAGCCUCUAAGCAUCAGGUAACAUCAAAUCGUACCCCAAACCGACACAGGUGGUCAGGUAGAGAAUACCAAGGCGCUUGAGAGAACUCGGGUGAAGGAACUAGGCAAAAUGGUGCCGUAACUUCGGGAGAAGGCACGCUGACAUGUAGGUGAAGCCCCUGCGGGUGGAGCUGAAGUCAGUCGAAGAUACCAGCUGGCUGCAACUGUUUAUUAAAAACACAGCACUGUGCAAACACGAAAGUGGACGUAUACGGUGUGACGCCUGCCCGGUGCCGGAAGGUUAAUUGAUGGGGUUAUCGCAAGAGAAGCUCCUGAUCGAAGCCCCGGUAAACGGCGGCCGUAACUAUAACGGUCCUAAGGUAGCGAAAUUCCUUGUCGGGUAAGUUCCGACCUGCACGAAUGGCGUAAUGAUGGCCAGGCUGUCUCCACCCGAGACUCAGUGAAAUUGAACUCGCUGUGAAGAUGCAGUGUACCCGCGGCAAGACGGAAAGACCCCGUGAACCUUUACUACAGCUUGACACUGAACAUUGAGCCUUGAUGUGUAGGAUAGGUGGGAGGCUUUGAAGCGUGGACGCCAGUCUGCGUGGAGCCGACCUUGAAAUACCACCCUUUAAUGUUUGAUGUUCUAACCUGGCGCCGUGAUCCGGCGUGGGGACAGUGUCUGGUGGGUAGUUUGACUGGGGCGGUCUCCUCCCAAAGUGUAACGGAGGAGCACGAAGGUCAGCUAAUCCUGGUCGGACAUCAGGAGGUUAGUGCAAUGGCAUAAGCUGGCUUGACUGCGAGAGUGACGGCUCGAGCAGGUGCGAAAGCAGGUCAUAGUGAUCCGGUGGUUCUGUAUGGAAGGGCCAUCGCUCAACGGAUAAAAGGUACUCCGGGGAUAACAGGCUGAUACCGCCCAAGAGUUCAUAUCGACGGCGGUGUUUGGCACCUCGAUGUCGGCUCAUCACAUCCUGGGGCUGAAGUAGGUCCCAAGGGUAUGGCUGUUCGCCAUUUAAAGUGGUACGCGAGCUGGGUUUAGAACGUCGUGAGACAGUUCGGUCCCUAUCUGCCGUGGGCGCUGGAGAAUUGAGGGGGGCUGCUCCCAGUACGAGAGGACCGGAGUGGACGCAUCACUGGUGUUCGGGUUGUCAUGCCAAUGGCACUGCCCGGUAGCUAAAUGCGGAAGAGAUAAGUGCUGAAAGCAUCUAAGCACGAAACUUGCCCCG